This 490-nucleotide ribosomal RNA is filed under the name uncultured bacterium. RNAcentral describes it as "partial 16S ribosomal RNA". It matches the Rfam family "Bacterial small subunit ribosomal RNA", at positions 30 to 507 of the family's 1533-position model. The record is from RNAcentral.
AUUGAACGCUGGCGGCAGGCCUAACACAUGCAAGUCGAACGGUAACAGGAAGCAGCUUGCUGCUUUGCUGACGAGUGGCGGACGGGUGAGUAAUGUCUGGGAAACUGCCCGAUGGAGGGGGAUAACUACUGGAAACGGUAGCUAAUACCGCAUAACGUCGCAAGACCAAAGAGGGGGACCUUAGGGCCUCUUGCCAUCGGAUGUGCCCAGAUGGGAUUAGCUAGUAGGUGGGGUAACGGCUCACCUAGGCGACGAUCCCUAGCUGGUCUGAGAGGAUGACCAGCCACACUGGAACUGAGACACGGUCCAGACUCCUACGGGAGGCAGCAGUGGGGAAUAUUGCACAAUGGGCGCAAGCCUGAUGCAGCCAUGCCGCGUGUAUGAAGAAGGCCUUCGGGUUGUAAAGUACUUUUAGCGGGGAGGAAGGGAGUAAAGUUAAUACCUUUGCUCAUUGACGUUACCCGCAGAAGAAGCACCGGCUAACUACGUG